RNAcentral lists this ribosomal RNA (685 nucleotides) under Vibrio alginolyticus. RNAcentral describes it as "bacterial SSU rRNA". It matches the Rfam family "Bacterial small subunit ribosomal RNA", at positions 52 to 716 of the family's 1533-position model. Lineage: Bacteria; Pseudomonadati; Pseudomonadota; Gammaproteobacteria; Vibrionales; Vibrionaceae. The record is from RNAcentral.
CACAUGCAAGUCGAGCGGAAACGAGUUAUCUGAACCUUCGGGGAACGAUAACGGCGUCGAGCGGCGGACGGGUGAGUAAUGCCUAGGAAAUUGCCCUGAUGUGGGGGAUAACCAUUGGAAACGAUGGCUAAUACCGCAUGAUGCCUACGGGCCAAAGAGGGGGACCUUCGGGCCUCUCGCGUCAGGAUAUGCCUAGGUGGGAUUAGCUAGUUGGUGAGGUAAGGGCUCACCAAGGCGACGAUCCCUAGCUGGUCUGAGAGGAUGAUCAGCCACACUGGAACUGAGACACGGUCCAGACUCCUACGGGAGGCAGCAGUGGGGAAUAUUGCACAAUGGGCGCAAGCCUGAUGCAGCCAUGCCGCGUGUAUGAAGAAGGCCUUCGGGUUGUAAAGUACUUUCAGUCGUGAGGAAGGCGGUGUCGUUAAUAGCGGCAUCGUUUGACGUUAGCGACAGAAGAAGCACCGGCUAACUCCGUGCCAGCAGCCGCGGUAAUACGGAGGGUGCGAGCGUUAAUCGGAAUUACUGGGCGUAAAGCGCAUGCAGGUGGUUUGUUAAGUCAGAUGUGAAAGCCCGGGGCUCAACCUCGGAAUAGCAUUUGAAACUGGCAGACUAGAGUACUGUAGAGGGGGGUAGAAUUUCAGGUGUAGCGGUGAAAUGCGUAGAGAUCUGAAGGAAUACCGGUGGC